AUUUUUAUAGUGUAAAUAAACACAUAACAUUUUCAUUGUUAUAAUGUUCCCAACUAAAAAUA
RNAcentral lists this transfer RNA (62 nucleotides) under Quadristernoseta cf. intermedia XFX-2019. Its description in RNAcentral is "tRNA-Glu". The record is from RNAcentral. Lineage: Eukaryota; Metazoa; Arthropoda; Arachnida; Mesostigmata; Diplogyniidae.